UCAUCUGCGUACAGGUGGUAGGAAGAAGU
Molecule: small RNA, 29 nt
Filed under: Bombyx mori (domestic silkworm)
Lineage: Eukaryota; Metazoa; Arthropoda; Insecta; Lepidoptera; Bombycidae
Description: ovarian small RNA-26174
Source: RNAcentral